RNAcentral lists this transfer RNA (74 nucleotides) under Deltaproteobacteria bacterium. Its description in RNAcentral is "tRNA-Gly". It matches the Rfam family "tRNA". From Rfam's summary of the family: Transfer RNA (tRNA) molecules are approximately 80 nucleotides in length. Their secondary structure includes four short double-helical elements and three loops (D, anti-codon, and T loops). The record is from RNAcentral. Lineage: Bacteria; Pseudomonadati; Myxococcota; Myxococcia. RNAcentral also lists the same sequence under 3 other names.
GCGGGUGUAGCUCAGUUGGCUAGAGCACGACCUUGCCAAGGUCGGGGUCGAGGGUUCGAAGCCCUUCACCCGCU